This is a long non-coding RNA of Alnus glutinosa, 592 nucleotides long. RefSeq lists it as uncharacterized. The record is from RefSeq and is a predicted model, not a curated record. NCBI's taxonomy places the organism in Eukaryota, Viridiplantae, Streptophyta, Magnoliopsida, Fagales, Betulaceae. The transcript is spliced from 2 exons.
UUGAAAAAGAGAAAACAUUCUCCUCAUCCCUCCAUCUCCAUCUCCACGACUCCACCGCCCCCGUCCCCCACCUACCGCGCUGCCGCCCACGAGCACCGCCGAUCGCCACCACUGCCGACCAAGAGCACCAACGCCGACCACCGCCGCUCUCUCUACAAGACUGCUAUUGCUCUCUCUCUCUCUCUCUCUCUCUCUCUCUACGGGCCUGUAAUACUCUACCAUCGUAGAUAUGGGUUUUUGCAGAAUUCUGUGAUUGGCGUGUAUUUGAGGUGUCGGUUUGUUCAAUUUACUAGGCAAGUGUUUGAUAGAAUGCCAAAGUGGGAGUGGGCAAUCAAAGAUGGGCUUAAUGUUGAAUGUGAUUUAUUUGAGAGAAUGCCUGCUGGAGACUUCUCUUGAGAUGCCUAUCAUUUGUUUAAUCAGAUGCCAAAACAGGAUGCGGUUGGUUGGGCAAAUACGAGAUAUGGGUAUGCAAAAACAGGUAGUAUUGAUGUUGCUAUGCUUUGAUGUCUGGCUAUGUUCAAAAUGGUUAUUGCUUGUAAUGUUUUACGGGCAACAAGAUUGCCUUUGAACAACAAAAUUAUAUUUUUUUGAA